Molecule: ribosomal RNA, 496 nt
Filed under: uncultured bacterium
Lineage: Bacteria
Description: partial 16S ribosomal RNA
Rfam family: Bacterial small subunit ribosomal RNA
Source: RNAcentral
AUGAACGCUGGCGGCGUGCCUAAUACAUGCAAGUCGAGCGAACUUUUGGGAGCUUGCUCCCAAAAGUUAGCGGCGGACGGGUGAGUAACACGUGGGUAACCUGCCUGUAAGACUGGGAUAACUUCGGGAAACCGGAGCUAAUCCGGAUAACAAUGAAAACCACAAUGCCUUCCAAUAAAAAGGUGGCUUUAGCCACCACUUACAGAGGGACCCGCGGCGCAUUAGCUUGUUGGUGAGGAUACGGCCCACCAAGGCGACGAUGCGUAGCCGACCUGAGAGGGUGAUCGGCCACACUGGGACUGAGACACGGCCCAGACUCCUACGGGAGGCAGCAGUAGGGAAUCUUCCGCAAUGGACGAAAGUCUGACGGAGCAACGCCGCGUGAGCGAAGAAGGCCUUCGGGUCGUAAAGCUCUGUUGUUAGGGAAGAACAAGUAUCGUUCGAAUAGGGCGGUACCUUGACGGUACCUAACCAGAAAGCCACGGCUAACUACGUG